UAACCUACCUGAAUCUGCAAA
Molecule: non-coding RNA, 21 nt
Filed under: Caenorhabditis elegans
Lineage: Eukaryota; Metazoa; Nematoda; Chromadorea; Rhabditida; Rhabditidae
Source: RNAcentral